This 1050-nucleotide long non-coding RNA is filed under the name Oncorhynchus mykiss (rainbow trout). RNAcentral describes it as "lncRNA (ENSOMYG00000048407.1)". Lineage: Eukaryota; Metazoa; Chordata; Actinopteri; Salmoniformes; Salmonidae. The record is from RNAcentral.
GUAGACAAAUUAGUUUAAAAUGUAUAGGUUUACCAAACGGUUAAGUGAUUAACCAUUAAGCACAGUUGGAUUAAGUGAUGGACAAAUUUAUUUAACCAAAUGAGAAGAGAAUCAUAUGAAAACCUUUGUGAGCACUGCAUUGUGAAAGGCAAUUACUUUAUAUGAAAGGUAUUUCUAGAUGAAACUAGGUUUGGUGAAAAAGUUACUGUAUGAUUGUGUGUGUUGUACUUAGUCAAUUGAAAAUGUGCUUAAAGUUUUUGAAGAACAGCAUUUUUGAUGAUCUGUUUUGAGUUUUGUACUAAGAGUUUAGAAAAUUCACUACGUGUGUGAAAAUAGCACCAAAGAAAACCAAUACUAAUGGUAAUAAUAAUCAUAGUAAUAAAACAGGGGGGUGUGUGUGUGUGUGUGUGUGUGUGUGUGUGUGUGUGUGUGUGUGUGUGUGUGUGUGUAUGUUUGUGUGUGUGUGUUUCAUGAAUGCACAGAUCCCCUUUUGGCCCUCCAGAUGGAGAACUCAGUGUUUUGCGGCCUGUAAAAGUGCAAAUAAAACAUAACUCAGUGGAAUCUCAGUCAUAAACUAAGAAAGAGAGGCUGCGUUUAUAACCCUAUAGGGAAAUCAAUCCAGCAACAGCUCUCGACAUCAGCGUUCACAUGGUCAGAAAAAACAUGUCCUCUUGCUAUUCUACAUAUUUUCAUACCAUCCUGUUAUUGUUUUUGAUCGAGGGAGAGUGUGAAAGAUAAAGAGAGAGAAAGAGAAGAGAGAGAGAGAGAGAGAGAGAGAGAGAGAAACAAAGUCAGACAGGUCAGACAGACGGUCAGCAAGACGAACCGGGAGUGUGAGAGAGUGCAAUCAAGAGAGAGGAGGAGUACAAUCAAGAGAGAGAGGUACAUUUGUCUAACAAGUCCAGUGUUUAGUGCUGAGCGAUUUAUGCUUUUUGAGGUCGGUUCGGUUUCCGUUAGAUUAUUACAAAAUAAUUACUGUUUCAAUUUUGAUUAUUUUUUAAAACAUUAAAUGCACUAUGCAUUAUGUGGGUUGAAUACUGUAACAGAAUA